Molecule: ribosomal RNA, 420 nt
Filed under: uncultured bacterium
Lineage: Bacteria
Description: bacterial SSU rRNA
Rfam family: Bacterial small subunit ribosomal RNA
Source: RNAcentral
GACGAACGCUGGCGGCGUGCCUAACACAUGCAAGUCGAGCGGGGAACGGACGGUAGCUUGCUACAGUUUGUUUCUAGCGGCGGACGGGUGAGUAACGCGUGAGCAACCUGCCUUUAUCAGGGGGAUAACGCAUCGAAAGAUGUGCUAAUACCGCGUAAGACCACAGCUUCACAUGGAGCGGGGGUCAAAGGAGCAAUCCGGAUAAAGAUGGGCUCGCGUCCGAUUAGCUAGUUGGUGAGAUAACAGCCCACCAAGGCGACGAUCGGUAGCCGACCUGAGAGGGUGAUCGGCCACAUUGGAACUGAGAGACGGUCCAGACUCCUACGGGAGGCAGCAGUGGGGAAUAUUGGGCAAUGGGCGAAAGCCUGACCCAGCAACGCCGCGUGAGGGAAGAAGGGUUUCGGCUCGUAAACCUCUGUC